GUGUGACUGCGUACCUUUUGUAUAAUGGGUCAGCGACUUAUAUUCUGUAGCAAGGUUAACCGAAUAGGGGAGCCGAAGGGAAACCGAGUCUUAACUGGGCGUUAAGUUGCAGGGUAUAGACCCGAAACCCGGUGAUCUAGCCAUGGGCAGGUUGAAGGUUGGGUAACACUAACUGGAGGACCGAACCGACUAAUGUUGAAAAAUUAGCGGAUGACUUGUGGCUGGGGGUGAAAGGCCAAUCAAACCGGGAGAUAGCUGGUUCUCCCCGAAAGCUAUUUAGGUAGCGCCUCGUGAAUUCAUCUCCGGGGGUAGAGCACUGUUUCGGCAAGGGGGUCAUCCCGACUUACCAACCCGAUGCAAACUGCGAAUACCGGAGAAUGUUAUCACGGGAGACACACGGCGGGUGCUAACGUCCGUCGUGAAGAGGGAAACAACCCAGACCGCCAGCUAAGGUCCCAAAGUCAUGGUUAAGUGGGAAACGAUGUGGGAAGGCCCAGACAGCCAGGAUGUUGGCUUAGAAGCAGCCAUCAUUUAAAGAAAGCGUAAUAGCUCACUGGUCGAGUCGGCCUGCGCGGAAGAUGUAACGGGGCUAAACCAUGCACCGAAGCUGCGGCAGCGACGCUGAUGCGUUGUUGGGUAGGGGAGCGUUCUGUAAGCCUGUGAAGGUGUACUGUGAGGUAUGCUGGAGGUAUCAGAAGUGCGAAUGCUGACAUAAGUAACGAUAAAGCGGGUGAAAAGCCCGCUCGCCGGAAGACCAAGGGUUCCUGUCCAACGUUAAUCGGGGCAGGGUGAGUCGACCCCUAAGGCGAGGCCGAAAGGCGUAGUCGAUGGGAAACAGGUUAAUAUUCCUGUACUUGGUGUUACUGCGAAGGGGGGACGGAGAAGGCUAUGUUGGCCGGGCGACGGUUGUCCCGGUUUAAGCGUGUAGGCUGGUUUUCCAGGCAAAUCCGGAAAAUCAAGGCUGAGGCGUGAUGACGAGGCACUACGGUGCUGAAGCAACAAAUGCCCUGCUUCCAGGAAAAGCCUCUAAGCAUCAGGUAACAUCAAAUCGUACCCCAAACCGACACAGGUGGUCAGGUAGAGAAUACCAAGGCGCUUGAGAGAACUCGGGUGAAGGAACUAGGCAAAAUGGUGCCGUAACUUCGGGAGAAGGCACGCUGAUAUGUAGGUGAAGUCCCUCGCGGAUGGAGCUGAAAUCAGUCGAAGAUACCAGCUGGCUGCAACUGUUUAUUAAAAACACAGCACUGUGCAAACACGAAAGUGGACGUAUACGGUGUGACGCCUGCCCGGUGCCGGAAGGUUAAUUGAUGGGGUCAGCGCAAGCGAAGCUCUUGAUCGAAGCCCCGGUAAACGGCGGCCGUAACUAUAACGGUCCUAAGGUAGCGAAAUUCCUUGUCGGGUAAGUUCCGACCUGCACGAAUGGCGUAAUGAUGGCCAGGCUGUCUCCACCCGAGACUCAGUGAAAUUGAACUCGCUGUGAAGAUGCAGUGUACCCGCGGCAAGACGGAAAGACCCCGUGAACCUUUACUAUAGCUUGACACUGAACAUUGAGCCUUGAUGUGUAGGAUAGGUGGGAGGCUUUGAAGUGUGGACGCCAGUCUGCAUGGAGCCGACCUUGAAAUACCACCCUUUAAUGUUUGAUGUUCUAACGUUGACCCGUAAUCCGGGUUGCGGACAGUGUCUGGUGGGUAGUUUGACUGGGGCGGUCUCCUCCUAAAGAGUAACGGAGGAGCACGAAGGUUGGCUAAUCCUGGUCGGACAUCAGGAGGUUAGUGCAAUGGCAUAAGCCAGCUUGACUGCGAGCGUGACGGCGCGAGCAGGUGCGAAAGCAGGUCAUAGUGAUCCGGUGGUUCUGAAUGGAAGGGCCAUCGCUCAACGGAUAAAAGGUACUCCGGGGAUAACAGGCUGAUACCGCCCAAGAGUUCAUAUCGACGGCGGUGUUUGGCACCUCGAUGUCGGCUCAUCACAUCCUGGGGCUGAAGUAGGUCCCAAGGGUAUGGCUGUUCGCCAUUUAAAGUGGUACGCGAGCUGGGUUUAGAACGUCGUGAGACAGUUCGGUCCCUAUCUGCCGUGGGCGCUGGAGAACUGAGGGGGGCUGCUCCUAGUACGAGAGGACCGGAGUGGACGCAUCACUGGUGUUCGGGUUGUCAUGCCAAUGGCACUGCCCGGUAGCUAAAUGCGGAAGAGAUAAGUGCUGAAAGCAUCUAAGCACGAAACUUGCCCCGAGAUGAGUUCUCCCUGACUCCUUGAGAGUCCUGAAGGAACGUUGAAGACGACGACGUUGAUAGGCCGGGUGUGUAAGCGCAGCGAUGCGUUGAGCUAACCGGUACUAAUGAACCGUGAGGCUUAACC
This 2352-nucleotide ribosomal RNA is filed under the name Escherichia coli. RNAcentral's name for it is "bacterial LSU rRNA". It matches the Rfam family "Bacterial large subunit ribosomal RNA", at positions 591 to 2925 of the family's 2925-position model. The record is from RNAcentral. Lineage: Bacteria; Pseudomonadati; Pseudomonadota; Gammaproteobacteria; Enterobacterales; Enterobacteriaceae.